This 653-nucleotide unclassified non-coding RNA is filed under the name Hevea brasiliensis (rubber tree). Lineage: Eukaryota; Viridiplantae; Streptophyta; Magnoliopsida; Malpighiales; Euphorbiaceae. The record is from RNAcentral.
CUGAUUUGAUCUAAUAGCUGAAAGAGGUUGAAAUCAGAUUAUAUACACCACUCCACUAAAGGAAAUGAGUAAAACCCCCUUAAGAGAUUUGAUAAAAUAACAAGGAAAACGAAAUUCCAAAAUAUUUACAAUACUCAACUGAAACGGGUUGCCUUACCUAUCCAUUAAGAAUGCUAUGAAUGAUUCUCUUUGAUUACACUGCAAAACAUGGAGCCAAGCAGGGAUAAUACCAGAUAGAAUACAAAGGAGAGGCAAUAUUAGCACAAAUCAUCUCAAUGGACAACCUUAAAUAGGCUUUCUUCCGACAUCAGCGAAUACAUAUACCCCUGCUGUGCUGAGAUGUCCAGCUUGAGAGUAAUUAUGGGACACCAUAACUAUGUUCCCAGCCAGCAUCGUCAGGAUGCAGAUCUUACCAACCCAUCAGUGUCCGUGUCACUCUGUCCGCUAUUUCUUUUCCGGCUCGAGCACUUGCUAAUGGACCUUUAGAAUUUUCAUCCAAGAGAAAUCUGUAGACUUCCCACUGUUGAUCCUUAGUUGAGUGUCUUCCAAUUUCAGCAGAGAAAAUGCACACUCCCAAUGUUUUCAGAGCAAAAGUAACGUCAUAGAAAACACGAGGUCUUCCCCUCCCACAUAAUUCAACAGGGUUAGCAACC